This 639-nucleotide ribosomal RNA is filed under the name uncultured bacterium. Its description in RNAcentral is "partial 16S ribosomal RNA". It matches the Rfam family "Bacterial small subunit ribosomal RNA", at positions 93 to 767 of the family's 1533-position model. The record is from RNAcentral.
UAGUGGCAGACGGGUGAGUAACGCGUGGGAACGUNCCCUUCACUACGGAAUAGCUUCUGGAAACGGAAGGUAAUACCGUAUACNCCCUUCGGGGGAAAGAUUUAUCGGUGAAGGAUCGGCCCGCGUUANAUUAGUUUGUUGGUGGGGUAAUGGCCUACCAAGACUACGAUCUAUANNUGGUCUGAGAGGAUGAUCAGCCNCACUGGGACUGAGACACGGCCCANACUCCUACGGGAGGCAGCNGUGGGGAAUCUUGCACAAUGGGCGAAAGCCUGAUGCAGCCAUGCCGCGUGAAUGAUGACGGCCUUAGGGUUGUAAAAUUCUUUCNCCNGGNAUGAUAAUGACAGNACCUGGUAAAGAANCCCCGGCUAACUUCGUGCCNGCAGCCGNGGUAAUACNAAGGGGGCUAGCGUUGUUCGGAAUUACUGGGCGUAAAGCGCGCGUAGGCGGGCUAUUAAGCCAGAUGUGAAAGCCCGGGGCUCAACCCCGGAAUUGCAUUUGGAACUGGUAGCCUAGAGACCAGGAGAGGUUAGCGGAAUACCGAGUGUAGAGGUGAAAUUCGUANAUAUUCGGUGGAACACCAGUGGCGAAGGCGGCUANCUGGACUGGUACUGACGCUGAGGCGCGAAAGUGUGGGGA